This 439-nucleotide ribosomal RNA is filed under the name uncultured bacterium. RNAcentral describes it as "partial 16S ribosomal RNA". It matches the Rfam family "Bacterial small subunit ribosomal RNA", at positions 338 to 795 of the family's 1533-position model. The record is from RNAcentral.
CCUACGGGGGGCAGCAGUGGGGGAUAUUGCACAAUGGGGGGAACCCUGAUGCAGCGACGCCGCGUGGGUGAAGAAGCGCCUCGGCGCGUAAAGCCCUGUCAGCAGGGAAGAAAAUGACGGUACCUGAAGAAGAAGCCCCGGCUAACUACGUGCCAGCAGCCGCGGUAAUACGUAGGGGGCAAGCGUUAUCCGGAUUUCCUGGGGGUAAAGGGAGCGCAGGCGGGGAUGCAAGCCGGGGGUCAACACUACGGGCCCAACCGGGGGGCGCACUCUGAACCGCAGGGCUUGAGUGAAGUAGAGGCAGGCGGAAUUCCUGGUGUAGCGGUGAAAUGCGUAGAUAUCAGGAGGAACACCAGUGGCGAAGGCGGCCUGCUGGGCUGUAACUGACGCUGAGGCUCGAAAGCGUGGGGAGCAAACAGGAUUAGAUACCCUGGUAGUC